GCCACUAUUUUCCAUGGGGCACUUAGAAUAUUACAAGCCAUUUUAUUGCCAAAACCAGCACGUACACAGAAUCCCGAGAUAAGGCAGUUCCUGUGACAGUGCCUUGGCCUCCUGGAAGCAGUCUGAGCCCUCCUGUUCCCAGGGAUCAUGAGAAACAAGCCCUCCUGAGCUGCAAGAAGCCUGACUGACCUCCUUUACAGUCAUCUGUUUUCUCUUGACGUGGGUGCUCACCUCACUUAUCCUUGGGGUUUGGGACCUGGCAUCAGGACCUCUUCACCCAGGAUCCUCCAUGCCACAUGGUCACUGCUUUCCUCAGGGACCAGGACAAGGUGCUGCUGUCUGCCCACACUUUCCCAAGGAACACGUACAGAAUCAUUUAGCCACUACCCUGCUGCUUCUCAGGCCUCCGCUGGGGCUUCCAGCUGGGUACAUGGCUGCUUGGCUGUUUGGGGCGGUCCUUCCUCCUUGGGUCCACAAUCCUGGCUCCAGCACCCCCUGCAGACUACACAGUGGGGGUCGGUGGAUGUGAGUGGCUAGACCUCUCAUUUUCAGCUCUAGUCAUAGCCCUUCUUCAGCGUCUCCUAGGCACUACUGCAGCCCCACUGGGGCAGCUAGUAUCCCAGGGUGGACUUUAGGCACCAGAGUCUUUAACAAGAAAAUCCUCUAGUAUUGUGUGGUUUUCUAUUUUUCCAGUUUACUCUCCUAACUAUUCAGAAGCAUUUUGCUCUCUCUUGCAUUUUCUUUUACCUUGUUUUUCUAAUACUGCUUUGGUACUAGCCCAUGUGGGGAAGAGAUACAGUAUGUUGGACAGAUAAAAAGGUGUGUUAUUUCUUGGUCAAUUUUCUAUUCGUAUUCCUUAUUUUGGCCAGUUCUUUUGUUUAUGCUUUGUGACAUAGGUACUUGGGAGGCUAGCUGCCCUCCUGGCUUUUGGCUUUUCGGUGUCCUUGAAGGAGACCAGUCAUGACCACCAAGGAGAAUGUCAGCUUGAUUCAGAACUUGGCAGAGGCCGAGCUCUGCUGCACUGUCAGGCCAGGUCUGGAUGUCAGCAGUUGGAGAUGUAAAUAUUUUGUACAGUAAAUAAAAUGCCUACAAUAAUCAAAAAAAAAAA
RNAcentral lists this long non-coding RNA (1108 nucleotides) under Rattus norvegicus (Norway rat). RNAcentral describes it as "long non-coding RNA NONRATT002954". Lineage: Eukaryota; Metazoa; Chordata; Mammalia; Rodentia; Muridae. The record is from RNAcentral.